CCUACGGGAGGCAGCAGUGAGGAAUAUUGGUCAAUGGACGAGAGUCUGAACCAGCCAAGUAGCGUGAAGGAUGACUGCCCUAUGGGUUGUAAACUUCUUUUAUAUGGGAAUAAAAUGUUCCACGUGUGGGAUUUUGUAUGUACCAUAUGAAUAAGGAUCGGCUAACUCCGUGCCAGCAGCCGCGGUAAUACGGAGGAUCCGAGCGUUAUCCGGAUUUAUUGGGUUUAAAGGGAGCGUAGGUGGAGUGUUAAGUCAGUUGUGAAAGUUUGCGGCUCAACCGUAAAAUUGCAGUUGAAACUGGCAGUCUUGAGUACAGUAGAGGUGGGCGGAAUUCGUGGUGUAGCGGUGAAAUGCUUAGAUAUCACGAAGAACUCCGAUUGCGAAGGCAGUUCACUGGACUGCAACUGACACUGAGGCUCGAAAGUGUGGGUAUCAAACAGGAUUAGAUACCCCUGUGUC
This 459-nucleotide ribosomal RNA is filed under the name uncultured bacterium. RNAcentral describes it as "partial 16S ribosomal RNA". It matches the Rfam family "Bacterial small subunit ribosomal RNA", at positions 338 to 795 of the family's 1533-position model. The record is from RNAcentral.